Molecule: ribosomal RNA, 292 nt
Filed under: uncultured bacterium
Lineage: Bacteria
Description: partial 16S ribosomal RNA
Rfam family: Bacterial small subunit ribosomal RNA
Source: RNAcentral
GUGUCAGCAGCCGCGGUAAGACGAACCGAGCGAACGUUGUUCGGAAUCACUGGGCUUAAAGGGCGCGUAGGCGGGCUGUCAAGUCUGGGGUGAAAUCCCGCGGCUCAACCGUGGAACUGCCUCAGAUACUGACGGCCUCGAGGAAGGUAGGGGCGAGCGGAACGGGUGGUGGAGCGGUGAAAUGCGUUGAUAUCACUCGGAACUCCGGUGGCGAAAGCGGCUCGCUGGGCCUUUUCUGACGCUGAUGCGCGAAAGCUAGGGGAGCAAACGGGAUUAGAUACCCCAGUAGUCC